CAGAUGGUGGGUGAGGGGUGAGAAAGAAGCUCCUAAGGAUGUCUCCUAAGGAUGACAUUCUAGAAAAUGGUCCUUGACAUGUUGCCAAUGGAUGCAAUUGUUCAAGUGAACCUCUUGAAAACACUCAGCGCUAGCCAGGCAACUGGAAGCAAUGCUGGAGAACAUGAGCCUGGGAUUCAGGGAGACCUGGUUUCAAGCCUGGUUCCACCCUUUACUGCCUCUGACCUUAGAAAUUUCUAACUUCUCUAAGCCUUCUCUCUGAGCUUCUGGUAGCCUUUUAACAAAUCCCAGUCCUGCUGAAGUUCACCUGGGUUUCCUCAUCUGCACACAGGAUUAAUACAAUGAUAACAAUACUUUCCUUGGAGGGUUGUCGUGGGCUCAGGCGCUUGACCUUGUGCACAGACAAAUCCUCAGUUUUUGAUGUGGCCUACUACACGAAGAACUUCAUUUUGGAUAAAAUGCCCGUAUCCUGGCUGCUUCAUCCUGCAGGCGGCAGGAUUUGGUUCCUUGUGGUUCCAGAUGGUGCCGGAUUUCCCCAUGUUGAGAAGAUAGCUCUCAGUUUGAUGUGGCAGUAUUUGCUGUGGUUAUGUCUUUCAACACACUUCCUGCUUUUCUUACAAAACAGAGACUGCUCAUCCCUCUCUUGGAGGCCACAGCCCAAAUGCUUAUAGGUUUAUUAGAGGGCCAACUUGAGCAGGCCUUGGGCACAUGUUCGGCCCCUCAGUGUGUGGCCUUUUUCUCUGCGAACAUCAGGGUUAAUCUAUUGUGGACUUUACUUUCUGUUGGAGUGAACGAUUGCAAUUCUGUGAGGGGAACAUGAGCUGCCUUGGUUGAUAUUGCUAGGUAGCACACUACACGUGUGCCUUCAUUCAGCAGCUUUAAGCACUGCCCGUAGCCUUUUAGCUACGACAGGUGAGUAACUCACUCACUUAUCCACCGUCUUCUCCCACCUCCAAAUCACUGAUAGUUUUUAUAUCUUCCAAUGGUUAACUUUAU
This 996-nucleotide long non-coding RNA is filed under the name Equus asinus (donkey). Its description in RNAcentral is "lncRNA (ENSEASG00005031468.1)". The record is from RNAcentral. Lineage: Eukaryota; Metazoa; Chordata; Mammalia; Perissodactyla; Equidae.